Molecule: ribosomal RNA, 498 nt
Filed under: uncultured bacterium
Lineage: Bacteria
Description: partial 16S ribosomal RNA
Rfam family: Bacterial small subunit ribosomal RNA
Source: RNAcentral
AUUGAACGCUGGCGGCAUGCUUUACGCAUGCAAGUCGAACGGUAACAGGCCGCAAGGUGCUGACGAGUGGCGAACGGGUGAGUAAUGCAUCGGAACGUGCCCAGUCGUGGGGGAUAACUAUCCGAAAGGAUAGCUAAUACCGCAUACGAUCUACGGAUGAAAGCAGGGGAUCGCAAGACCUUGCGCUACUAGAGCGGCCGAUGGCAGAUUAGGUAGUUGGUGGGAUAAAAGCUUACCAAGCCGACGAUCUGUAGCUGGUCUGAGAGGACGAUCAGCCACACUGGGACUGAGACACGGCCCAGACUCCUACGGGAGGCAGCAGUGGGGAAUUUUGGACAAUGGGCGAAAGCCUGAUCCAGCAAUGCCGCGUGCAGGAUGAAGGCCUUCGGGUUGUAAACUGCUUUUGUACGGAACGAAAAGCCCCGGGUUAAUACCCUGGGGUCAUGACGGUACCGUAAGAAUAAGCACCGGCUAACUACGUGCCAGCAGCCGCCGUAA